AGACACCAGUUCUGAAUGUUAGACAUGAAGAUGAAUCUUCAGGUGUCAAUUCAAUCUUUUUAAUUCUAUUCAUUCUUUUGGGUGACUGUUUGCAGAUACCUCCAAGAAAAAAUAAGGCAUACAAAGCUUAACAUUUAGAGCAACAUCCAAGGAGAAGCUGCCUCCUGCUUGACAUCUCCCUGACAGCACCAAUAAAUCUUCAAAAAGAGAAAUGGGUUUUCUACAGAAGAGAAGUAGUACCAAGAGGAGCAACAGGACUGAUUCCAGGUGAAAUCCAACAGCUGCUUUCCAGCACCUUCUUUGUCUCCCCCUAACAUUUUCCUGUCUGUGUGCCCUUUCAUGAGCUGUGUGCCAGGACUCAGCUCCAGCUCAUCUGCCUACUCGUAUGCAGAGCUGGACUUCACGUGCACAGGAGAUGAUGUGGCUGAGGAUGAUGUGGCUGAGGAGGGCCAUCCGGGAGGGACAGCCAGACAGACUGAAGUUCAGUGGUGUCCUGCAUCUUCCCUUUGUACAAAAUAACCUCUGUGUGGCAGAUUUGCCAGUGAAGUCCUGGCAAGUUUGCUUCCAAGGCAAAAAUCCUGCAGAUUUAUGGAAAACCUCCUUUUUCUCUAAUGUAGAAGCUUCAAGAAAUCAGGUUCAAUACUAAAACAGGCAAAUGAGCAAAGACAAAACCAUAUUCACACCAACCCCACAUCCCUCCAGGAUCCCCACCUGGGCCAUCCCUCCCCUUUGCAUCCAAACCAUGCCUGGUAGAGAUGCUGUGGAGAAGCUCAGUGGGAAAACUCACUUUGGACAGGAUACCCACUUCUUUACAAUGUUAACUUCUCUCUCCAUUUUCAUUUUCAUUUCCUCAUGUUAUUUUUUCUUGUUCCUUGUCUCCCAGGAUCUCUCCCAUGUAAAUUCCUCACCCCUAGACCCACCUUUUCUCUCCCUUUCCCCACUGACAUACAGCAACCCCAAGAAGCAGCCCAUAUUCCUUGCAGGCACUCAAAAAUCACCAAAUCCUUUGCAGCCUCUGAAGUCACUCUUGGAUAGACAUAGCUCUUAAAUCUCUCAGGUCCCACCUCUCCUGCACAGGUGUUCCUGCAGCAGCCAGGCUGCACCCUGGUGGUCUGUGGUUACAGGGAUUUUCCUCAGCAGAGGUAGGAAACGUUAUGAAAAGAUUUCCAGUGCUUUUGCUUCCUCCCAGAUGACAGGCACUGAUGUGUAGGAAUUAGCUGAAGUACAGCAGAACAGUCACGAGUAGUUAUGCUUCCUUCAUUAAUUAUAAAACCUCAUUUCUUACACAGCAAGAAUAAAGAUGGAGGGAAGCUUCCAGUAAAUGCCUAAAUAAUUUCAACUCUUAUUUGAAUAAAAGCCUUUCUCUCAGCAGCAUCACAGAUGCUUUUAUUUGGGACUUUUUCAAGCAUUGUUUCUGUCAGAAAGAAACAAUUCUGUUGGAUUGUCAACCCAAUCUGUUGCCCUCUUAACUAUGAACUAAUUAUUAGAGCUUAAUCUCUUUUCUCUACAUCUUUCCGUGCUCUGUUUUUUUUUUUUUUUUUCCUGUCUUGCAACUUGCCAAAGUUCACCAAAAUUUACUAUGAACCAAGUGCAGGAAUUAGGUUUAUGGGCCUGAUAGAAUUUGGACUUCCCACUUACUGCAGAGGUAACACAAAAGGUAUUUUGAUUUGCAGCAUCUUGGAAGUUCUUGUCAACUUUCCCCAGAGCCCUUCUGCUGAUUUUAAAACAAAACUCACCAUUAGUAGAAAAUCUGCCUCCCACUUCCCUGCUGGAGCGAGACUGUGCUUCAGAGAAGGAUGAAAAUGCAGAAACAGCCUGUCUCACACUUACAGGCUUCCUAACAGCCAAAUUCUGUGCUCUUCCUAAACAGGCCAGCCCAAAAAGAGAAGGUACAGAGGAGAGAUUCACCAAGUUCCAGCAGUCAGUGCUGCCCAUAACACAUGCUGCUGUAGGACCCACAGAGAGCUGUACAGGGGCCCUCUUACAGGCCCCUAUCAUGUCUGAUGUUGUGGGUGGAAAUAUAAUCCCACAGAACCUCCACAAAUGUCUGCAAAAAGCUCUGUUACUACAGACUUUGAGUCAAUCACUGUAAAUUCCAUUCUAAAAUAAAUGACAAGUUACACUGACUUGUUUGCCUUAACUACAGAUAGGCUUGCCAAUAUAUGUUGUU
Passer domesticus (house sparrow) is the source of this 2170-nucleotide long non-coding RNA. RefSeq lists it as uncharacterized. The transcript has 3 exons. The record is from RefSeq and is a predicted model, not a curated record. Lineage: Eukaryota; Metazoa; Chordata; Aves; Passeriformes; Passeridae.